Molecule: ribosomal RNA, 454 nt
Filed under: uncultured bacterium
Lineage: Bacteria
Description: bacterial SSU rRNA
Rfam family: Bacterial small subunit ribosomal RNA
Source: RNAcentral
UACGGAAGGCAGCAGUGGGGAAUAUUGCACAAUGGGCGCAAGCCUGAUGCAGCCAUGCCGCGUGUAUGAAGAAGGCCUUCGGGUUGUAAAGUACUUUCAGUCGUGAGGAAGGUGUUAAGGUUAAUAACCUUAGCAAUUGACGUUAGCGACAGAAGAAGCACCGGCUAACUCCGUGCCAGCAGCCGCGGUAAUACGGAGGGUGCGAGCGUUAAUCGGAAUUACUGGGCGUAAAGGGCACGCAGGCGGUUAAUUAAGUUGGAUGUGAAAUCCCCGGGCUUAACCUGGGAAUGGCAUUCAAGACUGGUUAGCUAGAGUCUUGUAGAGGGGGUAGAAUUCCAUGUGUAGCGGUGAAAUGCGUAGAGAUGUGGAGGAAUACCGGUGGGCGGAAGGCGGGCCCCUGGGACAAAGACUGACGCUCAUGUGCGAAAGCGUGGGGAGCAAACAGGGAUUAGAU